This 876-nucleotide ribosomal RNA is filed under the name uncultured archaeon. RNAcentral describes it as "bacterial SSU rRNA". It matches the Rfam family "Archaeal small subunit ribosomal RNA", at positions 21 to 904 of the family's 1478-position model. The record is from RNAcentral.
CCUGACUGCUAUCGGAUUGAUACUAAGCCAUGCGAGUCUUUGCAGUAAUACAAUGCAGACGGCUCAGUAACACGUAGUCAACCUACCCUAUGGACGAGAAUAAUCUCGGGAAACUGAGCAUAAUUCUUGAUAGAUCAUAAUGCCUGGAAUGGUUUAUGGUUAAAAUGAUUCGUCGCCAUAGGAUGGGACUGCGGCCUAUCAGCUUGUUGGUGAGGUAAUGGCCCACCAAGGCGAUUACAGGUACGGGCUCUGAGAGGAGAAGCCCGGAGAUGGGUACUGAGACACGGACCCAGGCCCUAUGGGGCGCAGCAGGCGAGAAAACUUUGCAAUGUGCGAAAGCACGACAAGGUUAAUCCGAGUGAUUUCUGCUAAAGGAAUCUUUUGCCAGUUCUAAAAAUACUAGUGAAUAAGGGGUGGGCAAGUUCUGGUGUUAGCCGCCGCGGUAAAACCAGCACCUCAAGUGGUCAGGAGGAUUAUUGGGCCUAAAGCAUCCGUAGCCUGCUCUGUAAGUUUUCGGUUAAAUCUAUAUGCUCAACGUAUAGGCUGCCGAAAAUACUGCAGUGCUAGGAAGUGGGAGAGGUAGACGGUACUUGAUAGGAAGGGGUAAAAUCCUUUGAUCUAUCGAUGACCACCUGUGGCGAAGGCGGUCUACCAGAACACGUUCGACGGUGAGGGAUGAAAGCUGGGGGAGCAAACCGGAUUAGAUACCCGGGUAGUCCCAGCUGUAAACGAUGCAGACUCGAUGAUGCAUUGGCAUAUAGCCAGUGCAGUGUCGCAGGGAAGCCGUUAAGUCUGCCGCCUGGGAAGUACGUACGCAAGUAUGAAACUUAAAGGAAUUGGCGGGGGAGCACCACAAGGGGUGAAGCCUGCGGUUCA